Molecule: ribosomal RNA, 429 nt
Filed under: bacterium
Lineage: Bacteria
Description: partial 16S ribosomal RNA
Rfam family: Bacterial small subunit ribosomal RNA
Source: RNAcentral
UAGGGAAUCUUCGGCAAUGGGGGCAACCCUGACCGAGCAACGCCGCGUGAGUGAAGAAGGUUUUCGGAUCGUAAAGCUCUGUUGUAAGAGAAGAACGUGUGUGAGAGUGGAAAGUUCACACAGUGACGGUAACUUACCAGAAAGGGACGGCUAACUACGUGCCAGCAGCCGCGGUAAUACGUAGGUCCCGAGCGUUGUCCGGAUUUAUUGGGCGUAAAGCGAGCGCAGGCGGUUUAAUAAGUCUGAAGUUAAAGGCAGUGGCUGAACCAUCGAUCGCUUUGGAAACUGUUGAACUUGAGUGCAGAAGGGGAGAGUGGAAUUCCAUGUGUAGCGGUGAAAUGCGUAGAUAUAUGGAGGAACACCGGUGGCGAAAGCGGCUCUCUGGUCUGUAACUGACGCUGAGGCUCGAAAGCGUGGGGAGCAAACAGG